This 516-nucleotide ribosomal RNA is filed under the name uncultured Streptomyces sp. RNAcentral's name for it is "bacterial SSU rRNA". It matches the Rfam family "Bacterial small subunit ribosomal RNA", at positions 151 to 681 of the family's 1533-position model. Lineage: Bacteria; Bacillati; Actinomycetota; Actinomycetes; Kitasatosporales; Streptomycetaceae. The record is from RNAcentral.
UGGAAACGGGGUCUAAUACCGGAUAUGACUGUCCGCCGCAUGGUGGAUGGUGUAAAGCUCCGGCGGUGCAGGAUGAGCCCGCGGCCUAUCAGCUUGUUGGUGAGGUAGUGGCUCACCAAGGCGACGACGGGUAGCCGGCCUGAGAGGGCGACCGGCCACACUGGGACUGAGACACGGCCCAGACUCCUACGGGAGGCAGCAGUGGGGAAUAUUGCACAAUGGGCGAAAGCCUGAUGCAGCGACGCCGCGUGAGGGAUGACGGCCUUCGGGUUGUAAACCUCUUUCAGCAGGGAAGAAGCGAGAGUGACGGUACCUGCAGAAGAAGCGCCGGCUAACUACGUGCCAGCAGCCGCGGUAAUACGUAGGGCGCAAGCGUUGUCCGGAAUUAUUGGGCGUAAAGAGCUCGUAGGCGGCUUGUCGCGUCGGUUGUGAAAGCCCGGGGCUUAACCCCGGGUCUGCAGUCGAUACGGGCAGGCUAGAGUUCGGUAGGGGAGAUCGGAAUUCCUGGUGAUCUUU